UACGUAGGUGGCAAGCGUUAUCCGGAUUUAUUGGGCGUAAAGGGAACGCAGGCGGUCUUUUAAGUCUGAUGUGAAAGCCUUCGGCUUAACCGGAGUAGUGCAUUGGAAACUGGGAGACUUGAGUACAGAAGAGGAGAGUGGAACUCCAUGUGUAGCGGUGAAAUGCGUAGAUAUAUGGAAGAACACCAGUGGCGAAAGCGGCUCUCUGGUCUGUAACUGACGCUGAGGUUCGAAAGCGUGGGUAGCAAACAGG
RNAcentral lists this ribosomal RNA (253 nucleotides) under uncultured bacterium. RNAcentral describes it as "partial 16S ribosomal RNA". It matches the Rfam family "Bacterial small subunit ribosomal RNA", at positions 524 to 776 of the family's 1533-position model. The record is from RNAcentral.